Molecule: long non-coding RNA, 1220 nt
Organism: Agrilus planipennis (emerald ash borer)
Lineage: Eukaryota; Metazoa; Arthropoda; Insecta; Coleoptera; Buprestidae
Exons: 3
Source: RefSeq, a predicted model, not a curated record
AAAGCAUGGCUUUGUUUGUCUGAUAUUUUACAAUACAUUCAAACUAUUAAAAAACUGAUUAUCAUCCUCUUCAUAUCUAAUACUAUCUUAUCUAAGUUUUUACUAUCUCUCUCGACUUUGUUCUCAGAGUUCUGGUCAGGCGAUGGAACUUGCACGAAGCAAAUUAUUCAUAAUUUCAAUUUUAUAAAAGUUAAAGUGAAAGUCGCUACGCUAUUGGUUCAAUUACGAAAAAUUUGCCGCGAACUGACGCAGAAACCCAAUGUGAUGCUUCUGCGUAACAUUAUUUACGUCAUCACUGCUUCAUGUGGUAGCAAUCGCAAUUUCACGACAGCCUGAACAUUGCCAGGUUCUCGUGGUCAGUUACUUCUUGCUUGCGAGAACGUUUGUUCACGUCUUUCGUUUCAAUUUACCGAAUUCACUUUUACGUAGAAUAAACUUUUUACUGCAAAUUACUAGUGAAAUUAAUUUUAUCUAAACACUCUUUUAUUUUACAGGAACAUUGUACAAACUCUGGAUGCCAUGUGGUACGAACGAUUCUUCAUAUCAGUCCUUUUUCACUCCUGGAUGAAGGAAGCAUUAAAUACCUCUUCUCCGCUGGAAUCAGAGGCAGAUUUUGCUAUUGCUAAGGGAAUGAUUCAUGACAAUAAAAUGAUUGGCCAACAAAUCCUGAUGCCAUCGAAACAACAGUGUGUACAAUGGUAUCUCCCGCUUUCCCUGGAUUUCUUCAUUUCUGAUUAGCUGUUGUCAUCUUCACCUUGCAGCGUUAUGCAGUUAAUUUUGUAUCGUUGAUUGAGAGCAACUGGAAGUUAUUUGGACCCCAUUAAAACAAUGAAUCAUCUGCAAUGGAAUCGUUCUUCCUGAAUACGGUUUGCUGUUGCACUUGCAAACUUUCGAGAGUUACAUUCUGCAGUUAAUGAAGAUCAACGGUGGAGAAGACCAAGAAGAUUCCGUAGUUAGAGUGCUUUUUAUUCGAUUUCAAUCAAGUUAUCAUUUUGCAUGUUUUUUAUUUGAAUUAAUUUUUUAGUUUGCAUGUCUUUUGUGUUGAUUAUUUUAUUUGAAUUCAUUUUUGAUUUUAGAUGUUUUUAUUUUUUGAAGUAGUUCUUAGUACUAACAUGUUCAUUUUUUUGUAGAGAGUCUAACAUAUCUCUUGCUUACCUCUUCGCUUAGCUUACUGCAUAUUCUUACUAUAAAUUGCUUUGCAUUUACCCUACGAGUUCUAC